AAGCAGAGCUGAGCUGUGACUCAAGCACCGGGCUGGCUGCCACACAGCAUCCCUGUGACACUCAGAUGCCAGCUAACGUGUUCUAAUAAAACUAACCAGUCACAUCGGUCAAACCCUACCUUGAUCCGGUGAUGGGCCCCUGCCCACCCCAAAAUUUCCCGCGUGUUCAUGAAAGACGACUAACUCCAGAACGGAACAUGACGCACGUGCCGAGACAUCAGCAUUGAGUAAGCACCCGCUGUGGGCCAGGCCCGGUCUCAGGACAGCUGCGCGCCCUCCAGACUCCACGGUCCUACAGACAAUGAAUAUUAUGCAACCAAAAUGUCCUGGGAAUUCAGAGCCAAAGGCAGCAUUCUUAGGAAAUGCCUCCCACUCUCCUGCCAUGGCAUAGAGCUCUGCUGGGCUCUGGACCUGCAGAGAAGUUGUUUUAUAGGCCAAGAUGGAUGCUGGAGCUCUAGCCAACACAGCUACCUUCCAGCCAACAGGAAGUUACUCAAGGGCACUUCCCAGAAGCUCCACAAUCUUGGGAUCAUAUCCAAUGUGCUGCCAGGAAUUAGUCACACGACCACACCUAGGCUGGGAAUACAGUCUUCACCCUGGGUAGCCACACAUCCAGCUAAAACAUGCAGGUUGUAUCAUUAGGAAGGAGGUGAGGCUGGAUGCCAGGAGAGGCCGUCAGACUCUGUGGGGCCUGGCCACUGACUCCUCCCCACAGCAAAGUUCCUCCUUUCGAAACUUGCCCUCCUCUCAACCAAAGGAGGUCUCUGUCUUUGCAACUCUGAGAAAAAAAAAAAAUAUAUAUAUAUAUAUAUUUGA
Homo sapiens (human) is the source of this 816-nucleotide long non-coding RNA. RefSeq lists it as uncharacterized. The transcript is spliced from 4 exons. The record is from RefSeq and is a predicted model, not a curated record. Lineage: Eukaryota; Metazoa; Chordata; Mammalia; Primates; Hominidae.